Molecule: long non-coding RNA, 595 nt
Organism: Acanthopagrus latus (yellowfin seabream)
Lineage: Eukaryota; Metazoa; Chordata; Actinopteri; Spariformes; Sparidae
Exons: 2
Source: RefSeq, a predicted model, not a curated record
CCUCCAGUUUCCCAUCAGGCCACGGGCACCUGUCUCGCCAGUGACGGACAAGUCGACCUUGGAGAGAUGAGGCUUCCCCUCCAGCACAGUGUGUUUAUGUCUCAGAGAGUGUGCUUAUGCCUUUUCUCACUGUGACACUGUGGCAGAGUGGUUACUGUGCAGCCUGAUGCUAAAGGCACAACUCUUUGACAGACACUGAGGGGAUUUUACCUGCGUUCGGAGGACUUUUCUGCUACUGUAUACUUCCACUGCACUACAUUUCGGGGCAAAACAUGUCUGUGGGCAGCUGGUGUCGGCUCCUGAGUAUAAACAGAGAAAAACACACCCAUCGUGGCCUCCUGAAACGUUGACAUUCUGCUGAUGGUGGACAUCCUGACAACAACAAUAUGAUGUGACAAGCUGAAGCAGAACUAAGUUACACGUAUGUUUACAUGUACGUACAAAUAAAUUGAUUAAAAAAUGUGCUAAUUUGGCUCUGAUGCAGCAUCUCCAAAGUGACACGGUAACCAGAGCCGAGUGGAGUGGAAGUAGAAAUACUCAAGUAAUGUACAGAUACCUCGAAAAUAAAGUGACCAUACUUAGUUACAUUACAUCA